This 491-nucleotide ribosomal RNA is filed under the name uncultured Pseudomonadota bacterium. RNAcentral's name for it is "bacterial SSU rRNA". It matches the Rfam family "Bacterial small subunit ribosomal RNA", at positions 355 to 864 of the family's 1533-position model. The record is from RNAcentral. Lineage: Bacteria; Pseudomonadati; Pseudomonadota.
UGGGGAAUAUUGGACAAUGGGCGCAAGCCUGAUCCAGCAAUGCCGCGUGAGUGAUGAAGGCCUUCGGGUUGUAAAGCUCUUUCGCACGCGACGAUGAUGACGGUAGCGUGAGAAGAAGCCCGGCUAACUUCGUGCCAGCAGCCGCGGUAAUACGAAGGGGGCUAGCGUUGUUCGGAAUUACUGGGCGUAAAGGGCGCGUAGGCGGUGUGUCAAGUCAGGCGUGAAAGCCCCGGGCUCAACCUGGGAACCGCGCUUGAGACUGGCACGCUAGAGUUCGGGAGAGGAUGGUGGAAUUCCCAGUGUAGAGGUGAAAUUCGUAGAUAUUGGGAAGAACACCGAUGGCGAAGGCAGCCAUCUGGACCGACACUGACGCUGAGGCGCGAAAGCGUGGGGAGCAAACAGGAUUAGAUACCCUGGUAGUCCACGCCGUAAACGAUGAGUGCUAGACGUUGGGGCCCUUAGGGCUUCGGUGUCGCAGCUAACGCGUUAAG